This 588-nucleotide long non-coding RNA is filed under the name Homo sapiens (human). Its description in RNAcentral is "HSALNT0340673". Lineage: Eukaryota; Metazoa; Chordata; Mammalia; Primates; Hominidae. The record is from RNAcentral.
CAGGGACUUAGAAAAGCUUAGACAUUCAUAGGAAUAAGACCUCCAGCUAUUUAUGGGUUGAUUACAAGCUCAGUAUGAUUCAAUUGAUGAUUAGAUAGUAGACAUCACCUGUUACGAUUGGAGCCCUGUGGCCAAGAGGACGCCUGUGAACUAUUUCACCUGAUUAGGCCACGCUGGGAUUUUUUGCUUGGGUGAGAGGUCGUGCUUCCCCAGGACACGGGCAGCAGCCUGGAGAGAGGAGUCUCAGAGGGUAACCCUGCUCUUCUCAAAUAUGGAAAGCUCCUAUGUGGAAGGGCAGUGAGUGGGAUUUAUCUUUUUCUGGGGAUUCCAGAUGGCAGAAAAUUAGGCCCACACUGCUGAGCGGGAUUUGAGUGUGAGAAUCCAAGUACAGAAGCUGAAUUUGGGAAAAUAGUCUUGCUAAAGAAAGUGGCAGAUUUUCCCAAUUCCACAUUUUGGAAGUAUCAAGAGCUGUUUCAUGAGAUAAGCUGGCGAGAGGAAAUAGACUACUCUGGUGUACUCAAGGUAACAUUCUCCCUACUUCCUGGUCUACUAGUUCAAGAAAAACGUUUGUUUUGAGUGCCACACGGC